UACGGAGGGGGCAAGCGUUGUUCGGAAUCAUUGGGCGUAAAGGGCGUGUAGGCGGCCGAUCAAGUCGGGUGUGAAAUCCCUCGGCUCAACCGAGGAACUGCACUCGAUACUGGAUGGCUUGAGUGUGGGAGAGGGAUGCGGAAUUCCAGGUGUAGCGGUGAAAUGCGUAGAUAUCUGGAGGAACACCGGUGGCGAAGGCGGCAUCCUGGACCACGACUGACGCUGAGUGAGCGAAAGCCAGGGGAGCAAACGGG
This 254-nucleotide ribosomal RNA is filed under the name uncultured prokaryote. Its description in RNAcentral is "partial 16S ribosomal RNA". It matches the Rfam family "Bacterial small subunit ribosomal RNA", at positions 524 to 776 of the family's 1533-position model. The record is from RNAcentral.